CAUGCAAGUCGAGGGGUAACAGAGGAGCUUGCUUCUGCUGACGACCGGCGCACCGNNGCGUAACGCGUAUACAAUCUGCCUUGCACUAAGGGAUAGCCCAGAGAAAUUUGGAUUAAUACCUUAUGGUUUAUUAAGAUGGCAUCAUUUUAAUAAUAAAGAUUACGGUGUAAGAUGAGUAUGCGUACCAUUAGUUUGUUGGUAAGGUAACGGCUUACCAAGACUACGAUGGUUAGGGGCCCUGAGAGGGGGAUCCCCCACACUGGUACUGAGACACGGACCAGACUCCUACGGGAGGCAGCAGUGAGGAAUAUUGGACAAUGGAGGAGACUCUGAUCCAGCCAUGCCGCGUGCAGGAAGACGGUCCUAUGGAUUGUAAACUGCUUUUAUACAGGAAGAAUAAGGACUACGUGUAGUCUGGUGACGGUACUGUAAGAAUAAGGACCGGCUAACUCCGUGCCAGCAGCCGCGGUAAUACGGAGGGUCCGAGCGUUAUCCGGAAUUAUUGGGUUUAAAGGGUCCGUAGGCGGGCCAUUAAGUCAGGGGUGAAAGUUUGCAGCUCAACUGUAGAAUUGCCUUUGAUACUGAUGGUCUUGAAUUAUUGUGAAGUGGUUAGAAUAUGUAGUGUAGCGGUGAAAUGCAUAGAUAUUACAUAGAAUACCGAUUGCGAAGGCAGAUCACUAACAAUAUAUUGACGCUGAUGGACGAAAGCGUGGGUAGCGAACAGGAUUAGAUACCCUGGUAGUCCACGCCGUAAACGAUGGAUACUAGCUGUG
Molecule: ribosomal RNA, 773 nt
Filed under: marine sponge bacterium PLATEdelici-(1)-1
Lineage: Bacteria
Description: bacterial SSU rRNA
Rfam family: Bacterial small subunit ribosomal RNA
Source: RNAcentral